UUUUAGCUUUUAUAUUUAAGGUUAGAAUUAAUAAAUAAGGAUAAACUGUUCAAAUAAGUAUUAAUCACUUACCAUUUAAGUAGAUUUAAGACAAAGUAGUGCAAUUUAAUAGGUCAAACCCCUUAAUCUCCCUUUUCCUACUAUUUUUUUUUUAUGCAAUUUUUGUUUACACAGUAUCUGCAAGCCCCUAUACAUCGUGUAAAACAAGAAAUACCUGUACUCAAGAAGACAGUGAAGGCCAACCAAAACUUGCAAGGUUCUUGAUGAUCCCACUGGCCUAAAUAGCAACAUGUGUCACACCUGCACAUUUCCAGGGCCAUUCCCUCAAGGGUUUCAUCUCCAAUGAUAAUAAUUCCUUGUGCCAAAUUUAUUCUGUUUUCUUAAUUUAUCUCCCUUCAUGAUAAUCCAAAAAGAAAUUCAACAAAUACACACACAUACAUACACAAACCACUUACCCAUACAUAUUUAUAGUGAACAAUUCUUGUCAUGUACACUAACAUAUGUAUAUCUAAUUAAAAUUUUCCAGUUUUUCACACUUUCAGUAGAAAUUACCAAAACAUAAAAAAGGAAGCUAAUUAUAAUAUAAGCACACCGACAGUGGUUUUGCUGCAUAUUCCCCAAAUACACAAAUAUUGAUAUUAUUAUUAUUGCACUGGUGAGUGGGAAUGUGUUCUUCCACCAACUCUGUUGAAAUGCUUAGAGAAAUAAAAUUCUGCUUUAUCCUGUGCAUUACCACCACCACAAUCCCCAAUUAUUACUAUCAUCACACACACACAGACACACCACACCUCAAUGCCCUGCAGAUUGAAACAAGACAACCAUUUCCCUUCUUUAUCUUUGUAUUGCCCGCCUGAUAAAAUUUUACAACCCUUGCCACUCCAUCUCAGUGACGUCUGCCUAUCUUAUCACACCACCAGGUACCUGUGUCACUCACUACAGCCAGCCACUCCCCACGCAACAGUGAUGGGCCUGAUUGUAGGACAGACAAGCUGGCCACCAACAAAACACCAUAGCGCUCCACAACACUCCACUUGACAGACUGGCUUAGAGCAAGUGGCCAGUGGAGGAGGCAUCCUCAAGAUAUACAUUUCAAUAUUAUCCAUGGACAGGGAAAGGGAAAAAGGAGAGAGAGACAUGCAUCUUAAAAGGCAACAUUUAUUCUCCAAGCAAUGGAGUCAUAUGUUUACAGACAACCUCAUGACUAUUUUGGACUGGCAGAGAAGGAUAAUAUUGAAAUACCAUUAGUAUUUUCAUCUGAGGGCAAGGUUAAGUUUUGAUUCACUCAGUCCACUAAUUUCAUUGUUGAUUCUUAUAGUGUGCACAUCACUUUCAAAAACUGCCAUAUUCAGGUCAAAAAUAAACAGUGUCUAGAAAUUAGUGGGUUAAGGUUAUUUCCAUUUAUUUAUUCAAUUAAUUCAUUUCUUUGUUGAUUUCUUCAUUGCAUAGAUCAUAACAAAAAAAUAAAUAAAAGCAUCAUA
Long non-coding RNA from Scylla paramamosain (green mud crab), 1478 nucleotides. RefSeq lists it as uncharacterized. Lineage: Eukaryota; Metazoa; Arthropoda; Malacostraca; Decapoda; Portunidae. The transcript is spliced from 2 exons. The record is from RefSeq and is a predicted model, not a curated record.